This 424-nucleotide ribosomal RNA is filed under the name uncultured bacterium. RNAcentral's name for it is "bacterial SSU rRNA". It matches the Rfam family "Bacterial small subunit ribosomal RNA", at positions 495 to 917 of the family's 1533-position model. The record is from RNAcentral.
UAGUAUCAGCGUGCCAGCAGCCGCGGUAAUACGAAGGGUGCAAGCGUUACUCGGAAUUACUGGGCGUAAAGCGUGCGUAGGUGGUUUGUUAAGUCUGAUGUGAAAGCCCUGGGCUCAACCUGGGAACUGCAUUGGAAACUGGCUUACUAGAGUGCGGUAGAGGGUAGUGGAAUUCCCGGUGUAGCAGUGAAAUGCGUAGAUAUCGGGAGGAACAUCUGUGGCGAAGGCGACUACCUGGACCAGCACUGACACUGAGGCACGAAAGCGUGGGGAGCAAACAGGAUUAGAUACCCUGGUAGUCCACGCCCUAAACGAUGCGAACUGGAUGUUGGGAGCAACUUGGCUCUCAGUAUCGAAGCUAACGCGUUAAGUUCGCCGCCUGGGAAGUACGGUCGCAAGACUGAAACUCAAAUGAAUUGACGGG